CAAACUGGAAUUAGAUACUCCACUAUGCCCAAUCGUAAACUCUUACUUACCUCAACACCGCCAGGGAACUACGAGCAAAGCUUAAAACCCAAAGGACUUGACGGUACCCCAAACCCACCUAGAGGAGCCUGUCCUAUGAUUGAUACCCCCCGUUCUACCUCACCACUUUUAGCUUCUCAGCCUGUAUACUUCCGUCGUCAGCUUACCACGUGAGCGAAACACAGUCAGCCCAAUGGACUCUCCAAAACGUCAGGUCAAAGUGCAGCAAAUAAAGCGGAAAGAGAUUGGCUACACUUUUUAACCCUAAAAGAAACGAAAAGCUAUAUGAAACCUCAGCUCGAAGGCGGAUUUAGUAGUAAGAAGAAAACAGAGUGUUCUACUUAACUCGGCACUGGGGUGUGUACACACCGCCCGUCACCCUCCUCAAAUUUUUAUUUAAGUCAAUAACAUCAAACACCAAAACAGAGAAGGUAAGUCGUAACAUGGUAAGUGUACCUGAAGGUGCACUUGGAAACGACUCGUAGCUUAACCAAAGCCU
This 538-nucleotide ribosomal RNA is filed under the name Yunganastes mercedesae. RNAcentral describes it as "partial 12S ribosomal RNA". It matches the Rfam family "Bacterial small subunit ribosomal RNA", at positions 768 to 1533 of the family's 1533-position model. Lineage: Eukaryota; Metazoa; Chordata; Amphibia; Anura; Strabomantidae. The record is from RNAcentral.